UGAAUGGAAGUGCGUCCGCUCACUCUGCUGCGCAGAAGUACUGCUGCUCAGAAGAAAUGCCAUGCUGUGCAGAGAUGCAUGACGGGGCAUGUUCAGUAGCAAGCGGUAAAUUGCCCCGUUGGCAGCAUAUGGCAGGAUGUUCGAUUGUGCAUCAAGAAUUCAGCAUAUAAAGUUUGUAUGAAGAUACCUUGUAACUGGAGAUUCUUUCAAAACGAUUGCCUACAGUUACAGUGUAGGGCACUGCAAGGUUGGGUGACCAGAGCCAUCUGGGACUGCCUCCUGGGGGAAUUCAGGUGUGUGAAGGCUACCUGUGUCCUGCAUAACUUCAUGAGGAUAGACACGAGGACCAGGAGGGGAUCUGCAGCUUGCCGCCGUGUGUCAGAGGAAUAGUCUGCUGCUCUGCAGGAUGUUUCAAGGAUGGGUUCCAACAACGCAGCAAGAGAGGCAAUCCUUGUGCAGGAGAUCUUCACCUCCUACUUCUUUGAAGAAAAUGUUAUGGGAUUCACACCAUUGGUUUUUGUUGGUAGUCUCUUUUGGCUACUGUCUAAAACUAAGGGUACAAUGUCAGCGUUGACUGUAAACGCGUGCUGGAAGUUGCACAAAAUUAUCAUAAUGUUCAAGUUUCUGCUCACAAGACCUAAAAUUUGCUCAGUGCCCCACAAAAAUUUGAGGGAACGUUGCUUGGGGGCUAGGUCUGUUUGCAUUUUAAUAGAUGUCAUUCCAAUGCCAUUUCAAUCCAUUUAGGUGGAACAGCCUGAUACAAUAGGAGAACAUGUCCCUUUCAGUCAGCUCUUUUGAACAUGUGUGACUUCCAAACUUGAAGUGUGAUGGUUAUCAAUCACCAACCAUCUACCUUAAUGGUCCAGUUUUGCUAAUAGGCUAGUUACUGGUUGGUAUAUUUGGUUGGCAUAGGGUGCCUUCGGAAAGUAUUCAGACCCCUUGACUGUUUUACACAUUUUGUAAAAUUACAGCCUUAUUCUAAAAUACAAAAUAAAAUUGAAAAAAAUGUCAGCAAUCUACAUACAAUACCCCAUAAUGACGAAGCGAAAAUAUAUUUUUUUAGAAAUUUUGCAAAUGUGUUAAAAAUAAAAACAGAAAUAUCCUAUUUACAUAAGUAUUCAGACCCUUUGCUAUGAGACUCGAAAUUGAGCUCAAGUGUAUCCUGUUUGCAUUGAUCAUCCUUGAGCUGUUUCUCCAACAUGAUUGGAGUCUGCCUUUGGUAAAUUCAAUUGAUUGGACAUGAUUUGGAAAGGUACACACCUAUAUAUAUUUCAUACAUUUUAGAAUAAGGCUGUCAUGUAAAAAUGGGGGUCUGGAUACUUUCUGAAGGCACUGUAUCUGCCCUGCUCUGUACAUUAGACAUUAGUCCUUAGUGGCAAAUAUCCAUGAAAAAAAUAUUGAGGUUGAAAAUAUAACUGUAUUCCACUAAAAUGCUAAAUGCUUAAAUUUGAAUAAGUAAAGGCUAACACAGUAAAUGCUAACAUUUUAGCCAGAAUGCUACCGACAAUAGCCCUUUUCUGACCACAAACAGGUCCCUCAGCCAACCAGUUAGUUAUGGGAAUCUAUCCUACUGUUUUCACUGGUGGGCUUUAGAGGAAUUCCUGCCACGUGACUACGCUAGCCAAGAUUCAGAGAUUUCCCAUGCCUUUUUUCUCCUUCAGUCAUCACCAGCAAAUGGCUACUGUCAGCUACUAAUCUGUGCUUAUGCCAGAAUUACUUUUAUUUGUACAAACAUUUACUCUGCUACAGACGGGAAGACAUCCGGCACCAUUUGAAAAACCCCCAUAUCCACAGAGAAUGAGCAGCAUUCUUCAUUCUUUCGCCAGGCAAUAGAAGGCUUCCUUUUUCAGAGUAACACUAAGGGAAUAUCUUAGUGUGAUUUCUGACAUCCCAUUCUGGCUAUUCUUUUCAGAUAGUCUCUGAAGACACUAACAAGAGAUGUUUCAAAGAGAUCAUUUAAACGAGGAAAUACAGUGAAAGCUAUGAGAGCUACUUUCAAAUGUUUUUCACCAACAUUAAAUAAACUUCUACAAGGUUCAA
This is a long non-coding RNA of Oncorhynchus nerka (sockeye salmon), 2040 nucleotides long. RefSeq lists it as uncharacterized. The transcript is spliced from 2 exons. The record is from RefSeq and is a predicted model, not a curated record. Lineage: Eukaryota; Metazoa; Chordata; Actinopteri; Salmoniformes; Salmonidae.